Molecule: microRNA, 21 nt
Filed under: Danio rerio (zebrafish)
Lineage: Eukaryota; Metazoa; Chordata; Actinopteri; Cypriniformes; Danionidae
Description: dre-miR-2185-3p
Source: miRBase by way of RNAcentral
GCCGCGAUCAGCUGCACCAGC